UACGGAGGGUCCAAGCGUUAUCCGGAAUCAUUGGGGUUAAAGGGUCCGUAGGCGGUUUUGUAAGUCAGUGGUGAAAGCCCAUCGCUCAACGGUGGAACGGCCAUUGAUACUGCAAGACUUGAAUUAUUGGGAAGCAACUAGAAUAUGUAGUGUAGCGGUGAAAUGCUUAGAGAUUACAUGGAAUACCAAUUGCGAAGGCAGGUUGCUACCAAUACAUUGACGCUGAUGGACGAAAGCGUGGGGAGCGAACAGG
This 253-nucleotide ribosomal RNA is filed under the name uncultured bacterium. Its description in RNAcentral is "partial 16S ribosomal RNA". It matches the Rfam family "Bacterial small subunit ribosomal RNA", at positions 524 to 776 of the family's 1533-position model. The record is from RNAcentral.